RNAcentral lists this ribosomal RNA (254 nucleotides) under uncultured bacterium. RNAcentral describes it as "partial 16S ribosomal RNA". It matches the Rfam family "Bacterial small subunit ribosomal RNA", at positions 524 to 776 of the family's 1533-position model. The record is from RNAcentral.
UACGUAGGGGGCGAGCGUUGUCCGGAUUCAUUGGGCGUAAAGAGCUCGUAGGCGGCUUGGCAAGUCGGGUGUGAAAACUCCAGGCUCAACCUGGAGAUGCCACCCGAUACUGCUAUGGCUUGAGUUCGGUAGGGGACCACGGAAUUCCUGGUGUAGCGGUGAAAUGCGCAGAUAUCAGGAGGAACACCGGUGGCGAAGGCGGUGGUCUGGGCCGAUACUGACGCUGAGGAGCGAAAGCGUGGGGAGCAAACAGG